CAAUAGCGUAUAUUAAAGUUGUUGCAGUUAAAAAGCUCGUAGUUGGAUUUCUGGCAGGAGGGACCGGUCACGCACUCUGUGUGUGAACUUGGCUCCCUCUGGCCAUCCUUGGGGAGAUCGUGUUUGGCAUUAAGUUGUCGGGCAUGGGAUACCCAUCGUUUACUGUGAAAAAUUAGAGUGUUUAAAGCAGGCUUAUGCCGUUGAAUAUAUUAGCAUGGAAUAAUAAGAUAGGACUUUGGUUCUAUUUUGUUGGUUUCUAGGACCGAAGUAAUGAUUAAUAGGGACAGUUGGGGGCAUUAGUAUUUAAUUGUCAGAGGUGAAAUUCUUGGAUUUAUGAAAGACUAACUACUGCGAAAGCAUUUGCCAAGGAUGUUUUCAUUAAUCAAGAACGAAAGUUAGGGGAUCGAAGACGAUUAGAUACCAU
Molecule: ribosomal RNA, 424 nt
Filed under: uncultured eukaryote
Lineage: Eukaryota
Description: bacterial SSU rRNA
Rfam family: Eukaryotic small subunit ribosomal RNA
Source: RNAcentral